GGGGGUGUGGCUCAGUGGUAGAACACCUGCCUUGCAUGCACAAAGCCCUGGGUUCAAUCUCCAGCACUGCAA
RNAcentral lists this transfer RNA (72 nucleotides) under Heterocephalus glaber (naked mole-rat). It matches the Rfam family "tRNA". From Rfam's summary of the family: Transfer RNA (tRNA) molecules are approximately 80 nucleotides in length. Their secondary structure includes four short double-helical elements and three loops (D, anti-codon, and T loops). Further hydrogen bonds mediate the characteristic L-shaped molecular structure. tRNAs have two regions of fundamental functional importance: the anti-codon, which is responsible for specific mRNA codon recognition, and the 3' end, to which the tRNAs corresponding amino acid is attached (by aminoacyl-tRNA synthetases). tRNAs cope with the degeneracy of the genetic code in two manners: having more than one tRNA (with a specific anti-codon) for a particular amino acid; and 'wobble' base-pairing, i.e. permitting non-standard base-pairing at the 3rd anti-codon position. The record is from Rfam by way of RNAcentral. Lineage: Eukaryota; Metazoa; Chordata; Mammalia; Rodentia; Bathyergidae.